Molecule: ribosomal RNA, 252 nt
Filed under: uncultured bacterium
Lineage: Bacteria
Description: partial 16S ribosomal RNA
Rfam family: Bacterial small subunit ribosomal RNA
Source: RNAcentral
UACGGAGGAUGCGAGCGUUAUCCGGAUUUAUUGGGUUUAAAGGGUGCGCAGGCGGAGGCACAAGUCAGCGGUAAAAUCGCGGGGCUCAACCCCGCUCCGCCGUUGAAACUGUGUCCCUUGAGUGCGCGAAGGGUAGGCGGAAUGCGUGGUGUAGCGGUGAAAUGCAUAGAUAUCACGCAGAACUCCGAUCGCGAAGGCAGCCUACCGGCGCGCGACUGACGCUCAUGCACGAAAGCGUGGGUAUCGAACAGG